UACGGGGGGAGCAAGCGUUGUUCGGAUUUACUGGGCGUAAAGGGCGCGUAGGCGGUCGUGACAAGUCACUUGUGAAAUCUCCGGGCUUAACUCGGAACGGUCAAGUGAUACUGUCGGACUAGAGUACAGAAGGGGCAACUGGAAUUCUCGGUGUAGCGGUGAAAUGCGUAGAUAUCGGGAGGAACACCUGUGGCGAAGGCGGCCCCCUGGUUGGAUACUGACGCUGAUACGCGAAAGCGUGGGGAGCAAACAGG
Molecule: ribosomal RNA, 254 nt
Filed under: uncultured bacterium
Lineage: Bacteria
Description: partial 16S ribosomal RNA
Rfam family: Bacterial small subunit ribosomal RNA
Source: RNAcentral